This 420-nucleotide ribosomal RNA is filed under the name uncultured crenarchaeote. RNAcentral's name for it is "bacterial SSU rRNA". It matches the Rfam family "Archaeal small subunit ribosomal RNA", at positions 459 to 879 of the family's 1478-position model. The record is from RNAcentral. Lineage: Archaea; Thermoproteati; Thermoproteota.
CAGCCGCCGCGGUAACACCAGCCCCUCGAGUGGUGGGGACUAUUAUUUGGCCUAAAGCGUCCGUAGCCGGCUGCAGCCGUCACCCGUUAAAUCCAGCGUCUCAAGCGUUGGAUUGCGGGUGAUACCCUGCAGCUUGAGGGUGGGACAGGUUAGCGGUAUUCCCGGGGUAGGGGCGAAAUCCUUUGACCCCGGGAGGACCACCAGUGGUGAAGGCUGCUGACUAGAACACGCCUGACGGUCAGGGACGAAAGCUGGGGUAGCGAACCGGAUUAGAUACCCGGGUAGUCCCAGCUGUAAACGAUGCACGCUGGGUGUUGGGUCGGCCACGCGCCGCCCCAGUGCCGCAGGGAAGCCGUUAAGCGUGCCGCCUGGGGAGUACGGCCGCAAGGCUGAAACUUAAAGGAAUUGGCGGGGGAGCAC